This 259-nucleotide ribosomal RNA is filed under the name uncultured bacterium. Its description in RNAcentral is "partial 16S ribosomal RNA". It matches the Rfam family "Bacterial small subunit ribosomal RNA", at positions 524 to 777 of the family's 1533-position model. The record is from RNAcentral.
UACGGGGGGGCAAGCGUUGUUCGGAAUUACUGGGCGUAAAGGGCGCGUAGGCGGUCAGAUAAGUCAGCUGUGAAAACCUCGGGCUUAACCCGACGGCCUGCAGGUUGAAACUGUUUGGCUGGAGUGUGGGAGAGGAGAGUGGAAUUCCCGGUGUGAGCGGUGAAAUGGCGUAGAUGUCGGGAGGAACACCGGUGGCGAAGGCGGCUACUCUGGACCACUACUGACGCUGAGGCGCGAAAGCUGAGGGGAGCAAACAGGG